Strigops habroptila (Kakapo) is the source of this 3083-nucleotide long non-coding RNA. RefSeq lists it as uncharacterized. NCBI's taxonomy places the organism in Eukaryota, Metazoa, Chordata, Aves, Psittaciformes, Psittacidae. The record is from RefSeq and is a predicted model, not a curated record. The transcript is spliced from 2 exons.
GGUUCAUCCCUCCCCAGGGUGCACGAAGACAGGCACCUCCGGCCAGCUUCCCCCCGCUGCCGGGCCGGUAGAGCCGGUGCUACUACAUCUUGUCAGGACGCAGAUGAAUUUAUUCUCAAGGAAAAUCAUUUCUGGGGAAGGUGGUGCUGGACUACUGAGAAACACCUCAUUGACAUUUCACCUGAAACUUCAGACCACUAUUCUAAAGCAGAUACUCAUCACAGGCAUUUUCAUGCCGAACAGUUUGUGUAUCACACAAAUAAAAAACAACUUUAAAUGAGAAAUAUUCUGAAACUAACUACAGACAUUACAAUCUAUGCUGCAAACUUCACUUUUCACAGAGCAGUAUUUGACAAAUCAGAUCAAGCAUUCACAAAUGCAUGUCUUCCGAUUGUUUUCUUACCCCAUUUCCAUGUUUUUUCUUGAAAAAUAAUCUUCAGCAGUCCAUAUACUGCCUAGAAUAUACCCAAGCACAGCUUUCCCUACAGCAAAAAGUUUUAACUUCACCACUACAAAGCAUCCUAUGCCACAGGUUCUCACCAUAGGAUGGAGGGUACCUUUAGAGAGAAUAAUUUAAACUGGAAGUUCUAAAUAUUUUAUUUCCUACAGGGAUGUGUUUCUUGGAAAACUACAAGUACUUCUGUCAAAAUACUGACUCGGAAGAGCAAAGACAGGAAUAUGGAUAAACAUGUCCAAUCGAUGGUUUUCCUUCCACUAUGGCUUGACAUUAUCUUUGUUUGCAAUGACGUUUAAAAGCAUAACUAAGCUCAUUUUUUCUCUAGAAAGUGUUUGAAAAUACGAAUGAAAUCUAGUGAGACAUGUACGCAUGGGGCAGGAAUGCCGUAACAGUAACCACCUCCCUUUCACAUUUGGAGAGAUGAAGAGCAGAUUCUUCUGUAAACACAUAAUGUAGCAUCAUUACACGACCCAAGCCAGCCAUGUCUCAUGGACAAGCUUGCCACAACUUAGAGCAGACCCAGAAGGUAGCUUUAACUUGGCAGUACUCAAAGGCUUAGGCCUGGUUUAGAGAAGAAAGGUACGGACCGUUUCUUCAGCAGGGUUUUGCCAGAACUUGAGUACAAUUUUGUUUCCACAUCUAGCAAAAAAAAAAAAAAAAAAAAGUGAUUUAUUAUGUUAUUGCAGUGGACAUUUUGGCAGAGAGAGCAGGCACACUGAAGUAUGCAUCUGUCAUUUCCAAAAAAAGCCAAACAAUUUCACUGGUCUGGUUUAGAGAAGUAGCCUGAACUGCACAGAAGGCAGUGUUUGAACUCAGACUGAGGAUGGGGAGAAGGGCAGAAAUAACAUGCCAGGGGACACAAGGGAUUUGCAACAAGCUUUGCUUGUUUGUGUCGAAGACACUGCACCAGGGAAGACAUCUUAGAAAACUAACAGUACAAUCCAUUGCACCACAGAGAUCUUCUCCUGCACAGCUCAGGAGAAGGAUGCACUGCUAAGAUAUUGAAAAUUACAUCCUUGUAAUCCACUGGGUUCACAAGCUGUGAGCAAAGACUCAACAAAUUCAAGGGGAAAAACCAGGACGUUUUUGCUCUAAGCUUCAGCAGGUCACAGUGGAUUAGAGGAAUUCCUUCAGCCAGCAAGAGAGGCGAUCGCAGUGGAAAACCCCAGCUCCCACCAGGCAGCAGCCUCCAUCCAGUGGGUUCCACUCGCGGGCACACGGACACACACCCCGAAAUGAAGACAAGCAUCUCAUUUUCAAGUUGAUUUUUGUAAAUGGAAAAAAAUGUAUAAAAUCUAUCCAUACAUUAACAGAUACAGGAAGUUACACAAUCCAGUUUACACCUAAAGCAAUAGCAAUCAGUCCGUAAUAAGAACAGGGAAAAAUUCCAAUGCUGUAACUUGUCCAAAGUCACUAUAGGGCAGAGGACUGUGGUUGGCUUCUUCUUUUUGGCGUGUGGAUAAACUGGCUACCUUCCCUACUUCCAAAGCAAAGAGACAACUCCAACAGACAUGUAUUAGGAAUACUUUUGAAAUGCAUCUGACUCUAGCAUUAACACUGAAUAUUCAAAGAUUCAUAUUAUUACAGUAUAAUGUUUGCCUACUUCUGCCUCCAGGAAAGGGCAGUGGGCAGUAGGUACUACUCAAGAGAAAUCCUGCACCCAUCUUAGAAUUUACAGCAUUGAUUGAGUAAAAGAUUUUUACUUUAUGAUUUUUAUCCAUCCUGGAACACUUAAAAUUUAUGUAUCCUCAGCUCAGACAUUUACAAAGCAUGCAGAGACUGUUACUACUCAAGGAACAUUUAGGAGGCUAUGGAAAAUGUGCUGGCGGGUACUGGUCUAAUUUUAGUGAACUCAUGUCUACCAUUACAUGCAAGCCAUACCUGGCAGUAGUUCUCCCUCCAUUUAUUGGAGGCCCCAGAAGACAAGGCUUGAAUGAACGGGCAUGGAAGCUCAGGUACCAUUUUAAGGAAUAAAACAAAACAACUGCUAGCAGGGGCCCGCUUGUGGGAAUGCCUGCCCUGCUGCUGGUGUACCUGUGGGUGAACAGUGUCAGUCCAGGGCUCACAAAAGAUGCCUGACUGGAUUUUAAAGGAAAAGGGAGGCACCUUAAACCCUGAAAAGACAGACUUCUGUGUUUGACAGGUGUAUUCAAUAUGCACACACAAAGCAAGACAGUAAGCUGUGCUUAUCCACCCAGAAGACUGCACCAUUUUUCUGAACAUAUAGAAUAUACAACCCUUUCUCAAAAUAACAACAACAAUAAUAAUAAAGCAGAAGUGCAGAAUCCAGAGUGUUGGGUGGUCUGUGUUUAAAAAACAUACGGAAGAAUAAAAGCUAAUGCUGUAAAGACAACUAUUCCCUUUCAAAGCAAAGGCCACAUAAAACUCUGUUGCUCAGUUUGGUUUUUUUACUUCAUGCCACCUGUAAACACAAGACUGGAUAUUCAGUUUCUGGGAAGAAAUGAAAAUACUUUUACAUUCAGAGUAAAAGAAAAGCCCUCCACUGCCUGGAUCACAGAUUACCCAGGAAAAGGUAGCUAGGGGAAGGCUUCCUCUUCUUGUUUGCUCAUUUCAUUAGAAAGGUCAUAUCUGAACAAAAGAGCUUUCAAUAAAAGCACAAAACGUU